GGGUGAAGCUUCCUGGCCAGGGAAGCUGGCAGGGGGCCAGCCAGGCCUGGAGAGUCACUUCUGUCUGGGCUGGGAAGGCCUCGAUGAAUCCUCUGCCUGACCACCCAUGGACGUCCGCUCUCUGGCGUGCCUGACAGAUGAGAGAAGGGAGCCACAGCCUGCGGGAAAGGAGCAUCUCAGCCUGAGAACCCACGGACCUGGGUCUAGGCUGUUGGGGAAGGAGAACAGAAGAAAGAGAAAAACACUGUUUCCCUCUUCAAACCAAAACAAACACACUCAGGGUUGAAGAUCCAACACGAAUCCGUGGAAUGCAGGGAGGAUAUCUGCGGGGAGAGUGCCACUGCUUGGAGGUGGGCAGGAGGAGACGCAGCCAGAGCUGGGACAAGUCCUCCUCUCUCUUCCACUGCCGCUAUCCUCAAGGCGUCAGAGGGAGCGUAUGGACAGCUCCAAACGCCCAGACUCACCCAUCACCUCACCCUCCAUCCGCCGAGCCAGCGGUUGAGAAGGCCAUCCAGUCUGGCUCUGCAGAGGGUGUGGCUGACGUGGCCGCAGACUACCAGCGAGGGUCGUCUCGGGAGCAAGAUGGAUGUGACUGGCGGAGCCGGGGGUGGGAUUUGUCCGGCCGCUUUCCUGCCUCUGCUGCUGCUGCUGAAAAGGCCAGCCCGCUGGAGAGACCUGGCGUUGGCGCAUCUGGGAACAGACGUCCGCGCGCGGCUGGCUGGAAUGCUGGACUCGCCUCCGCAGCGCUGUGACCGUAACAACGUGCAAACGGUGGGUUCUGCUGGGAGGUCAAGGAAGCUCCCUGGAGGAGGAGUAUCUGGACAACAGGGAAAGAAAGGAGCUGCAGAAGAAAGGCAGAAGAAUUGGGUCCUGGUUCAGCCCUCAUCUCACUCUCCCAGAGCCCCGGAGCACACCAGUGGACACCCUCACCCCUCUGGGGCAGAUCAGCACAGAGACGUGAAGCACACAGGCAGCUGCUGGAAAAAUAAUGAGGAAUUGCAAUGCUGUGCCCCUCAAUUGAGUGCAAGCUCUCUUCUGCCUUUUCACCUUGGGCAAGUUACCUUCCUGUUCCAGGCCUCAGUUUCCCCAUGUGUGAAAUGAAAGGGCUGGAGAGAAAUCUCUUACUAUUCCCCAAUCUGCAUUCAUUGUGUCCCAAGCCUUCUAAUAUCUGUUCAACAAAGUGUACCAAAUCUCAGCUAUUGGACUGAGACUCAGGUGUCUAUCUGACUUGAAUUGAAAAUGUAAAUUACUGAAGAGGGAGGGAGGGAGGGAGAGAGUGCUGAAGCUUGAAUGGGCUUAUCAGAUUUCCUUCUCCUGUGGCCCAGAUGCAGGCCUCGUCCAGGCGAUCCCCCUGGCUCAGAAUCUGCCAGGCUCAAGCAUUCAUUGACAGGCCAGGAUGUGGCCUCCUGUUCUGGAUGCUCUCAUAUUUAAACAGGCUAAACCCAUUUUGCAUUGUAUGUUAGGGGUGGUGCUUGUGGGAGAAAGGGGGCUGUCAGAACAUUCUGGCUGCUGCAUGAAGUUGACUUUGUCAGGAGAUACUGGGCUGUGGGAGAAGGCAGCUGGUGUAAUAAUUUGGCCAAGGGGUGGGUUGAGCAGGAGCAGGGGCCGAGGGAGGGAGAGAAGGAAUGGCUAAGGAAGGCCCAGGGACUGAUUUGACUGGGGCUUCAGGGACAGGUGUGGGGCGAGAGGGAUGCUGGGAGUGAAGGAGGGAAAGCACGGAGGCUUUUUGGGGAUUAAUAGGCAGUGAUCCCUAUGAGGGCAUGGUGAGUAGGACCCAAACAUCCAGGUACUUCCUGCCUGCCAGCCCUCUCUGUCUCUCUCUUCCUUUCCUACUGCCCAAGGCCUGGCCCUGCUGCACAUGCCCUGCCCUGGCCCCCAGAGUCCCCUUCUCUCCUGGCUGGGAGAUUAGGACUCUGCUGUGCCUACAGCAUUCUCAACCUCAAGUCAAGGUGGCCCUUUGGUGCCCAGGAGGCCACAUGGCUGAGUCAGGGCUGAGUCACCAGUCCCCAAGGGCCUUGCCAUUUCCUGUGGAGAAGCCUCUUUACUGGCAGGGUUCUGUGCUCAGGUGGGAAAUCUGGGGAGGUCGGGGGCAGGGCUUCAUCUACUUUCACCCACUAACUUCCUAGACACUCCACUGGGGGUAGAGGGUUCCUAAAUGUAUGAUGAUCAAAACAUGCCCUUAUGUAUUCACAGGUGUUUGCCUAUGCAACUGCAUGUCUGAAUGUUUUAUGUGUAUUUUAAUAUAGAUAGGGAACAAAUAUGUAUUAAGCACAUACUAUGUGUGCAGCCUUUUAUGUAUGUUACUUUCUAAUAACCCUAGGAGGUAUAGAUGCCUCCCUGGCUAUAGUUGAAAAUACUGACAUGCCCAAGGUGCAGGAGAUAUGAAUACCUCCCCAGUGUGGCUGGUAACACCCCUAGGGUUCUCCGACUCCACAAUGAUGGGCUUUCCUCCAGAGUCAGCUCCUCAGGGGCAGGAGUGAGAAGUGUAUCUGUAUUUAUCCUUCCGCCAGUGGCUGGGAUUGGUCCUGUGGUUGGAAACAGGGUCAGUAAGGCCCUUGGGAGUAGCUGGGUGAAUGGAUGAUGGUAGUGUUCAUCUUGGACAUGGCACAUACUUCUGGCUGGGUCAAUCCAUGUGGCUGGCCAACCUGGACCUGCUCUAUUCGGGGCCAUCGUCCUCAUGGCUCAUCAGUGCUGAGUUUCAUUGCCUUCUUCAUAAUGCAAUACUAAUGGACACAGGAAUGUAUCUGCUGCCGUACACUAGAUGAAACAUGGUUAUUUGCUCAGGUAGAAAUGAAGACUAAAAUACCAAA
Rhinopithecus roxellana (golden snub-nosed monkey) is the source of this 2810-nucleotide RNA transcript. RefSeq lists it as uncharacterized. The record is from RefSeq and is a predicted model, not a curated record. NCBI's taxonomy places the organism in Eukaryota, Metazoa, Chordata, Mammalia, Primates, Cercopithecidae. The transcript is spliced from 5 exons.